Molecule: transfer RNA, 74 nt
Filed under: Christensenellaceae bacterium
Lineage: Bacteria; Bacillati; Bacillota; Clostridia; Christensenellales; Christensenellaceae
Description: tRNA-Cys
Rfam family: tRNA
About the family: Transfer RNA (tRNA) molecules are approximately 80 nucleotides in length.
Source: RNAcentral
GGCGUAAUAGCCAAGCGGUAAGGCACGGGCCUGCAAAGCCUUGACCCCCGGUUCAAAUCCGGGUUACGCCUCCA